AUUGAACGCUGGCGGCAGGCUUAACACAUGCAAGUCGAGCGGAGAUGAGGUGCUUGCACCUUAUCUUAGCGGCGGACGGGUGAGUAAUGCUUAGGAAUCUGCCUAUUAGUGGGGGACAACAUUCCGAAAGGAAUGCUAAUACCGCAUACGUCCUACGGGAGAAAGCAGGGGAUCUUCGGACCUUGCGCUAAUAGAUGAGCCUAAGUGGGAUUAGCUAGUUGGUGGGGUAAAGGCCUACCAAGGCGACGAUCUGUAGCGGGUCUGAGAGGAUGGACAGCCGCGCUGGGACUGAGACACGGCCCAGAGUCCUACGGGUGGCAGCAGUGGGGAAUAUUGGACAAUGGGGGAAACCCUGAUCCAGCCAUGCCGUGUGUGUGAAGAAGGCCUUAUGGUUGUAAAGCACUUUAAGCGAGGAGGAGGCUACUGAGACUAAUACUCUUGGAUAGUGGACGUUACUCGCAGAAUAAGCACCGGCUAACUCUGUGCCAGCCGCCGCAGUAA
RNAcentral lists this ribosomal RNA (501 nucleotides) under uncultured bacterium. Its description in RNAcentral is "partial 16S ribosomal RNA". It matches the Rfam family "Bacterial small subunit ribosomal RNA", at positions 30 to 523 of the family's 1533-position model. The record is from RNAcentral.